This 728-nucleotide ribosomal RNA is filed under the name Streptomyces sp. R1O37. RNAcentral's name for it is "bacterial SSU rRNA". It matches the Rfam family "Bacterial small subunit ribosomal RNA", at positions 54 to 800 of the family's 1533-position model. Lineage: Bacteria; Bacillati; Actinomycetota; Actinomycetes; Kitasatosporales; Streptomycetaceae. The record is from RNAcentral.
CAUGCAGUCGAACGAUGAACCACUUCGGUGGGGAUUAGUGGCGAACGGGUGAGUAACACGUGGGCAAUCUGCCCUUCACUCUGGGACAAGCCCUGGAAACGGGGUCUAAUACCGGAUACCACUACCACGGGCAUCUGUGGUGGUUGAAAGCUCCGGCGGUGAAGGAUGAGCCCGCGGCCUAUCAGCUUGUUGGUGAGGUAAUGGCUCACCAAGGCGACGACGGGUAGCCGGCCUGAGAGGGCGACCGGCCACACUGGGACUGAGACACGGCCCAGACUCCUACGGGAGGCAGCAGUGGGGAAUAUUGCACAAUGGGCGAAAGCCUGAUGCAGCGACGCCGCGUGAGGGAUGACGGCCUUCGGGUUGUAAACCUCUUUCAGCAGGGAAGAAGCGAAAGUGACGGUACCUGCAGAAGAAGCGCCGGCUAACUACGUGCCAGCAGCCGCGGUAAUACGUAGGGCGCAAGCGUUGUCCGGAAUUAUUGGGCGUAAAGAGCUCGUAGGCGGCUUGUCACGUCGGGUGUGAAAGCCCGGGGCUUAACCCCGGGUCUGCAUUCGAUACGGGCUAGCUAGAGUGUGGUAGGGGAGAUCGGAAUUCCUGGUGUAGCGGUGAAAUGCGCAGAUAUCAGGAGGAACACCGGUGGCGAAGGCGGAUCUCUGGGCCAUUACUGACGCUGAGGAGCGAAAGCGUGGGGAGCGAACAGGAUUAGAUACCCUGGUAGUCCACGC